Molecule: ribosomal RNA, 2904 nt
Filed under: Escherichia coli
Lineage: Bacteria; Pseudomonadati; Pseudomonadota; Gammaproteobacteria; Enterobacterales; Enterobacteriaceae
Description: 23S ribosomal RNA
Rfam family: Bacterial large subunit ribosomal RNA
Source: RNAcentral
GGUUAAGCGACUAAGCGUACACGGUGGAUGCCCUGGCAGUCAGAGGCGAUGAAGGACGUGCUAAUCUGCGAUAAGCGUCGGUAAGGUGAUAUGAACCGUUAUAACCGGCGAUUUCCGAAUGGGGAAACCCAGUGUGAUUCGUCACACUAUCAUUAACUGAAUCCAUAGGUUAAUGAGGCGAACCGGGGGAACUGAAACAUCUAAGUACCCCGAGGAAAAGAAAUCAACCGAGAUUCCCCCAGUAGCGGCGAGCGAACGGGGAGGAGCCCAGAGCCUGAAUCAGUGUGUGUGUUAGUGGAAGCGUCUGGAAAGGCGCGCGAUACAGGGUGACAGCCCCGUACACAAAAAUGCACAUGCUGUGAGCUCGAUGAGUAGGGCGGGACACGUGGUAUCCUGUCUGAAUAUGGGGGGACCAUCCUCCAAGGCUAAAUACUCCUGACUGACCGAUAGUGAACCAGUACCGUGAGGGAAAGGCGAAAAGAACCCCGGCGAGGGGAGUGAAAAAGAACCUGAAACCGUGUACGUACAAGCAGUGGGAGCACGCUUAGGCGUGUGACUGCGUACCUUUUGUAUAAUGGGUCAGCGACUUAUAUUCUGUAGCAAGGUUAACCGAAUAGGGGAGCCGAAGGGAAACCGAGUCUUAACUGGGCGUUAAGUUGCAGGGUAUAGACCCGAAACCCGGUGAUCUAGCCAUGGGCAGGUUGAAGGUUGGGUAACACUAACUGGAGGACCGAACCGACUAAUGUUGAAAAAUUAGCGGAUGACUUGUGGCUGGGGGUGAAAGGCCAAUCAAACCGGGAGAUAGCUGGUUCUCCCCGAAAGCUAUUUAGGUAGCGCCUCGUGAAUUCAUCUCCGGGGGUAGAGCACUGUUUCGGCAAGGGGGUCAUCCCGACUUACCAACCCGAUGCAAACUGCGAAUACCGGAGAAUGUUAUCACGGGAGACACACGGCGGGUGCUAACGUCCGUCGUGAAGAGGGAAACAACCCAGACCGCCAGCUAAGGUCCCAAAGUCAUGGUUAAGUGGGAAACGAUGUGGGAAGGCCCAGACAGCCAGGAUGUUGGCUUAGAAGCAGCCAUCAUUUAAAGAAAGCGUAAUAGCUCACUGGUCGAGUCGGCCUGCGCGGAAGAUGUAACGGGGCUAAACCAUGCACCGAAGCUGCGGCAGCGACGCUGAUGCGUUGUUGGGUAGGGGAGCGUUCUGUAAGCCUGCGAAGGUGUGCUGUGAGGCAUGCUGGAGGUAUCAGAAGUGCGAAUGCUGACAUAAGUAACGAUAAAGCGGGUGAAAAGCCCGCUCGCCGGAAGACCAAGGGUUCCUGUCCAACGUUAAUCGGGGCAGGGUGAGUCGACCCCUAAGGCGAGGCCGAAAGGCGUAGUCGAUGGGAAACAGGUUAAUAUUCCUGUACUUGGUGUUACUGCGAAGGGGGGACGGAGAAGGCUAUGUUGGCCGGGCGACGGUUGUCCCGGUUUAAGCGUGUAGGCUGGUUUUCCAGGCAAAUCCGGAAAAUCAAGGCUGAGGCGUGAUGACGAGGCACUACGGUGCUGAAGCAACAAAUGCCCUGCUUCCAGGAAAAGCCUCUAAGCAUCAGGUAACAUCAAAUCGUACCCCAAACCGACACAGGUGGUCAGGUAGAGAAUACCAAGGCGCUUGAGAGAACUCGGGUGAAGGAACUAGGCAAAAUGGUGCCGUAACUUCGGGAGAAGGCACGCUGAUAUGUAGGUGAAGUCCCUCGCGGAUGGAGCUGAAAUCAGUCGAAGAUACCAGCUGGCUGCAACUGUUUAUUAAAAACACAGCACUGUGCAAACACGAAAGUGGACGUAUACGGUGUGACGCCUGCCCGGUGCCGGAAGGUUAAUUGAUGGGGUUAGCGCAAGCGAAGCUCUUGAUCGAAGCCCCGGUAAACGGCGGCCGUAACUAUAACGGUCCUAAGGUAGCGAAAUUCCUUGUCGGGUAAGUUCCGACCUGCACGAAUGGCGUAAUGAUGGCCAGGCUGUCUCCACCCGAGACUCAGUGAAAUUGAACUCGCUGUGAAGAUGCAGUGUACCCGCGGCAAGACGGAAAGACCCCGUGAACCUUUACUAUAGCUUGACACUGAACAUUGAGCCUUGAUGUGUAGGAUAGGUGGGAGGCUUUGAAGUGUGGACGCCAGUCUGCAUGGAGCCGACCUUGAAAUACCACCCUUUAAUGUUUGAUGUUCUAACGUUGACCCGUAAUCCGGGUUGCGGACAGUGUCUGGUGGGUAGUUUGACUGGGGCGGUCUCCUCCUAAAGAGUAACGGAGGAGCACGAAGGUUGGCUAAUCCUGGUCGGACAUCAGGAGGUUAGUGCAAUGGCAUAAGCCAGCUUGACUGCGAGCGUGACGGCGCGAGCAGGUGCGAAAGCAGGUCAUAGUGAUCCGGUGGUUCUGAAUGGAAGGGCCAUCGCUCAACGGAUAAAAGGUACUCCGGGGAUAACAGGCUGAUACCGCCCAAGAGUUCAUAUCGACGGCGGUGUUUGGCACCUCGAUGUCGGCUCAUCACAUCCUGGGGCUGAAGUAGGUCCCAAGGGUAUGGCUGUUCGCCAUUUAAAGUGGUACGCGAGCUGGGUUUAGAACGUCGUGAGACAGUUCGGUCCCUAUCUGCCGUGGGCGCUGGAGAACUGAGGGGGGCUGCUCCUAGUACGAGAGGACCGGAGUGGACGCAUCACUGGUGUUCGGGUUGUCAUGCCAAUGGCACUGCCCGGUAGCUAAAUGCGGAAGAGAUAAGUGCUGAAAGCAUCUAAGCACGAAACUUGCCCCGAGAUGAGUUCUCCCUGACUCCUUGAGAGUCCUGAAGGAACGUUGAAGACGACGACGUUGAUAGGCCGGGUGUGUAAGCGCAGCGAUGCGUUGAGCUAACCGGUACUAAUGAACCGUGAGGCUUAACCUU